GACGAACGCUGGCGGCGUGCCUAACACAUGCAAGUUGAGCGACGAACCUACCUUCGGGUAGGGGCAAAGCAGCGAACGGGUGAGUAACACGUGGGUAACCUGCCCCGAUGACCGGGACAACCCGAGGAAACUCGGGCUAAUACCGGAUGUGCUCCACUCUCGUAAGUGAGUGGAACAAAGGAAGCUUCGGCCUCCGCAUCGGGAGGGGCCCGCGGCCCAUUAGCUUGUUGGUGAGGUAACGGCUCACCAAGGCAACGAUGGGUAGCUGGUCUGAGAGGACGAUCAGCCACACUGGGACUGAGACACGGCCCAGACUCCUACGGGAGGCAGCAGUGGGGAAUCUUGCGCAAUGCG
RNAcentral lists this ribosomal RNA (354 nucleotides) under uncultured bacterium. RNAcentral's name for it is "bacterial SSU rRNA". It matches the Rfam family "Bacterial small subunit ribosomal RNA", at positions 28 to 375 of the family's 1533-position model. The record is from RNAcentral.